RNAcentral lists this transfer RNA (77 nucleotides) under Alphaproteobacteria bacterium. Its description in RNAcentral is "tRNA-Pro". It matches the Rfam family "tRNA". Rfam says of the family: Transfer RNA (tRNA) molecules are approximately 80 nucleotides in length. Their secondary structure includes four short double-helical elements and three loops (D, anti-codon, and T loops). The record is from RNAcentral. Lineage: Bacteria; Pseudomonadati; Pseudomonadota; Alphaproteobacteria. RNAcentral also lists the same sequence under 1 other name.
CGGAGCGUAGCGCAGCCCGGUAGCGCACUAUUCUGGGGGGAUAGGGGUCCCGGGUUCGAAUCCCGGCGCUCCGACCA